This 484-nucleotide ribosomal RNA is filed under the name uncultured bacterium. RNAcentral describes it as "partial 16S ribosomal RNA". It matches the Rfam family "Bacterial small subunit ribosomal RNA", at positions 30 to 507 of the family's 1533-position model. The record is from RNAcentral.
AUUGAACGCUGGCGGCAGGCCUAACACAUGCAAGUCGAGCGGAUGAAGGGAGCUUGCUCCUGGAUUCAGCGGCGGACGGGUGAGUAAUGCCUAGGAAUCUGCCUGGUAGUGGGGGAUAACGUCCGGAAACGGGCGCUAAUACCGCAUACGUCCUGAGGGAGAAAGUGGGGGAUCUUCGGACCUCACGCUAUCAGAUGAGCCUAGGUCGGAUUAGCUAGUUGGUGGGUUAAAGGCCUACCAAGGCGACGAUCCGUAACUGGUCUGAGAGGAUGAUCAGUCACACUGGAACUGAGACACGGUCCAGACUCCUACGGGAGGCAGCAGUGGGGAAUAUUGGACAAUGGGCGAAAGCCUGAUCCAGCCAUGCCGCGUGUGUGAAGAAGGUCUUCGGAUUGUAAAGCACUUUAAGUUGGUAGGAAGGGCAGUAAGUUAAUACCUUGCUGUUUUGACGUUACCAACAGAAUAAGCACCGGCUAACUUCGUG